RNAcentral lists this ribosomal RNA (400 nucleotides) under uncultured bacterium. Its description in RNAcentral is "bacterial SSU rRNA". It matches the Rfam family "Bacterial small subunit ribosomal RNA", at positions 356 to 773 of the family's 1533-position model. The record is from RNAcentral.
GGGGAAUCUUGGACAAUGGGCGCAAGCCUGAUCCAGCCAUGCCGCGUGGAUGAUGAAGGCCUUAGGGUUGUAAAAUCCUUUCAGCGGGGACGAUAAUGACGGUACCCGCAGAAGAAGCCCCGGCUAACUUCGUGCCAGCAGCCGCGGUAAUACGAAGGGGGCUAGCGUUGUUCGGAUUUACUGGGCGUAAAGCGCGUGUAGGCGGGUCGUUAAGUUGGGGGUGAAAUCCCGAGGCUCAACCUCGGAACUGCCUUCAAAACUGGCGACCUGGAGCAAGAUAGAGGCAAGUGGAAUUGCGAGUGUAGAGGUGAAAUUCGUAGAUAUUCGCAGGAACACCAGUGGCGAAGGCGACUUGCUGGAUCUUUGCUGACGCUGAGACGCGAAAGCGUGGGGAGCAAAC